CGACUAAGCCAUGCGAGUCAAUAGUUCUUCGUGAACUAGGCGGACGGCUCAGUAACACGUGGGUAAUCUACCCUCAGGACAGGGAUAACCCCGGGAAACUGGGGAUAAUACCUGAUAGGUGGAGAGGUCUGGAAUGAUCCUCCGCCCAAAGCUCCGGCGCCUGAGGAUGAGCCUGCGGCCGAUUAGGUUGUUGGCGGUGUAACGGACCACCAAGCCUGAGAUCGGUACGGGCACUGAGAGGUGGAGCCCGGAGAUGGGGGCUGAGAAACGGCCCCAGGCCCUACGGGGCGCAGCAGGCGCGAAAACUCCGCAAUACGCGAAAGCGUGACGGGGGGACCCCAAGUGUCAUGCCUUCGGGUAUGACUCUUGCAGAGUGUAAACAGCUCUGCGAAUAAGAGCUGGGUAAGACCGGUGCCAGCCGCCGCGGUAACACCGGCAGCUCAAGUGGUGGCCACUAUUAUUGGGCCUAAAGCGUCCGUAGCCUGCUCGGUAAGUCCUUGGGAAAAUCCGCUCGUUCCACGAACGGGACCCUGAGGAUACUGCCGAACUUGGGAACGAGAGAAGUCGGAAGUACUCCUGGGGUAGCGGUGAAAUGCUGUAAUCCUGGGGGGACUACCAGUGGCGAAGGCGUCCGACUAGAGCGGGUCCGACGGUGAGGGACGAAAGCCAGGGGAGCGAACGGGAUUAGAUA
Molecule: ribosomal RNA, 691 nt
Filed under: uncultured archaeon
Lineage: Archaea
Description: bacterial SSU rRNA
Rfam family: Archaeal small subunit ribosomal RNA
Source: RNAcentral